AGAAUAUUCCAAACAUUUAUUAUGCAUUAAAAAUACUGCAAACAAGCCAUACAGUUCAUUUCACAGUAACCUAAACAACAUUGUUCAAGAACUUGAGAAGUCAACAAAGAACAGUGCAGUUCAAACAGUGACAACAGUUAUCUUAAUGCCAUGGGUCCCUUUCUUUGCCAGCAGUUCUUUCCCGUUUACAGUGUGAACAACACAAGAUACAGCUUGCUAUCUUAUUUAACUAAGAGAACUCCCUUUCACCUGUGCUGUUCCCACAAACAUACCACUUUAGAGAAGUGCUAUUUCUAGGAAUGAAAUUUCUUUUCCUAACGUAGCCAAAGUGCAGGCUGAGGUGGGCACAAUGCACACAAGCCAGCGGUGGUCCCUAUUUUCAAGAUAUCUAUGUGCAGAACCCUGUACCAAAUCUUCGGAUAAAGUUCAAAAGUAAACUUGAAACAGAGGGAUAUCCUUUCUGAACAGACAGAAAACCAAAAACGUUCAGUGUGAAAGUGGUUUUGAAAUGAACAUAAACACCUGGAGCACUGUGACACCUUUUCCUCUUUCUCAAUCAGUUAGACAAAGGAUCCUUCGCUACUGGUGCCCCAGGCAGACACCCAGGGAAACCAGUCAUAAGGAAUUGGCCCCAAGUCCUAAGUUCAGGUCAUUGUCAGCUGUGUGAAAACUUGGAAAUGUAUAUACCUUAGAAGCAAUUCUGCUGAUUUCCUGCUGAUCUCCCCCCUUUUGUGUUGUGAAGUGUACUAUUAUUAUUACUAGCAUGCUUGCUAUACAGGGAACAUGACAGCUGCAAUUUUAGUCCUCUUUCCUAAUAUGUGAUCAUUUUGACAGAAAAUUCUGUAUCACGGAGUCUUAGGUCUCUGUGAAAAAGAAACAGCCUUGUCAUGUAAACAGCCAAAAAUACAACAAAAAUUACUGUGCCCUUUGCAGACGUUCCUUCUGAGCACCAGUCUUUUGUACCAGCAGCUAAAGACACCGGUACAGAAGCCCACAAGCAAUUAAUCUCUCCAGCCAUAUGGUGGAGCACCUCUCUUAGGUCUCAUGCACAAGCAAUACCACUUCAUAACUCUCCUUACUGGAGGUCCAGCUUACCCAUUUGAUCCACGGUACAGUUUAAGGGCACAAAGAAAUGGACUGUAACUCAGCUGGUAGCCGGUAAACUGACCCCAUGGCUGAGCCACAACUGCAGACUUGCUUCAAAGCUGGUCAGGGUGAUAGGUCUCUUCAUUUGACAGGGUGAUAGGCUUGUCCAUACACUUUUUAAACCACAUUUUCGAGUAAAAUCCUCAGUGCAUAUGGCAGCACACUUUUCAUACCAGAAUAGUUGUGGUCCUUUGGUGUGGGAUUUCUAAUGUCAUAGUGUGAAACACCUUCAUACCGUUAAAUAUGUGCCCACGCUGAUGAGGCUGUAGUGCCUUAGUUACACCACUACAGUUGAAGUGGUACAACUUUACAGAGAACAGAAGCGCUUAGAAAUUCAACCCAUAAUUAAACUCGUGUUUUCUCAAAAUAAAAUAGAAAAAAACAACUACACAAAAAGAGAAAUAAAGGAAAUAAGCAGAACUGUCUCUAUUAUUAAAGUAUUCUCUUUGGAGGUAUCAAAUUGCUUUUAAAAAGAGUAAAAAACUGGGCAUACAAAAGCUAUUUUCUUUAAUCCAAUAUAUGCACAAGGAGCACUGCUGCCUAAACUUUUUCAUGUAUUUUUUCAACUUUCACAAACAAUCUUUCCAGAUCAUUCCUCAGGUCAUCUAUAGAGCUCUUGACGGACUCCAAGUUGUUCUCAUUAUUCUCAAUUUUCACAGAGUAGGAGACUAAACUAUCCACUGCAGUUCUAAUCAUUUUCAAAUCAGAAUCAACCUGGCUGACGGAAGAUCUCAGUUCAUCCACAGAGCCUUCCACGGAAUUAAAUUUUUCAAGAUAUUCUUGAGAAUGUGCUUCACCCAUCUGAAGACUUCCUUGAUUCAGCAAAAUACUAAUUUGCUUUUGGACAUCCUGAAGGGCACCUGAGGACGGCAAGUCACUGAUACUUCUUCUUAAGUCCUCUACAUCAUUGUACAGCGAGGUCUGUGAUUCACCAAGAUUUUUCAGAACAUCUGAGACUGAAGUUAUGUCCAUAUCUGUGAUUCCCUGAAGACCACUCAUGCUUUGUUCUAGAGUACUGAGCUUGUUGUCAUAUUCUGCCUCCUUAGAAAGGAAUGAUUGUAACUUUUCACCAUGCUGAGAAGCAAUAGAACUUACAGACUUUAAGCUCUCCUCUAUGUGUCUCAAUCGAGACUCCAGUCCUUCGCUGUUAUUUUCAGAAGUUUCUAAUGCUUUUCUAAAGAGUUCGUUUUCUUCCCAUUUGCUGAGCUCAGCUUUAAUAUGCAGUAAAUCUUCAUCAAGUCUUUUAAUGUCACCGGGGAGCUGCAUAAUAGACUCCUCUGUUCUCAGAACUUUCUCUUGUAAAGCUUUUAAUGAGAGGUGUUCAGUGUCUGCAGCCUCUUUGAAUUUCUCAUGCUCCUGUUUGAGGUUGACUAACUCUUUCACUUCAGUAUAAACAUCAGAUUCCAUGGAGUUUAUUGUAUUCUUCAAGGUCUCUAUGUCUUUUUCUUUGGUUUUCAUGGAUGCUUGCAUCUCACCAAAAGCAUCCUUUAGCACCUUUAUUUCAUGCUUAUACAAAUCUGCUUUAUCUAGUGAAUCAACUUUUGCUUUCAUAUUUUUUAUUUCAUCUUGGCUCCUUUGCUGGACUUCAGUGAAUACAGCGAUGUUAUCAUUGAUAGACUUGGUUAGUUCCGUUAGCCUCUCUUCCACUGUGUUUUCCAGUGAUGUAAAGUCUCGUUCCCUUGCAUCCUUCACCAUGUGGAUGCCAUCAGACAGGUCUUUCAAAAUUUCAUUUUGCAGCUUCUGAAGCACUUCGCUGAUCCUAUUAAUUUCAUUCUCCCCUUGCUUAACCGCCUUCUCAGUAACCUCUUGCUUCUGCUGAGCAAUUUUCAUCAUGGAUUCAAAAUCUCCAAACGUGGCUUGAAGGGAACGCACCUUCUGCACCACGGCGUCCAGCGUGGCGGCCAGCUCUUGCCGCUGCCGCCCCGAGGCCUCCCUCUCGCGGGCGCUCCGCCCGACCUCCUCCCGCAGCUGCCGCACGUACCAGCCGGCGGGCAGCGCGGCGCCCAGCACCACUGCGGCGCCCAGCAGCAGCGCCCAGCCGCGCCGCGGGCCGGCUGCGGAGCGGCCCCCUCCGCCCCCCGCGCCGGACCGGCCGCCCCGGCCGUGAGACGCCGCCGCCGCCGGCUUCUUGGCCGCCGCCUCCUCGGAGCCGCCCGGCUGCGCGCCCCGCUCGUUGGCGGCGGCGACGGCGGGCGGGCUGCCCCCCUUGGGGCCCCGGUGCUUGGCGGCCGACAUGGCGGGACGGGGCCGACCCCGUGCGCCGAGCGGGAGCAGCGGGAGCGAAGGAGGCAGGAGGGGAGCGAAGGCGGGAGGAAAGGAAGGAGGGAGGGAAGGAGGGAGGCCGCCGCCGUGCGAUGGGGCGGGGGUGCCGGCCCGGGCAGCGCCCGCUCCCCGCCCCGCCCCGCGAAACCGCCACGCACGCGGGGCCGGGCCUGGGCCCCCGCGGGGCAGCCGGGCGCCACGCACACGGGGACCGAGCCGUCUCGGGGGGCGCGGCCAUCCCCAGCCCGGAGGGGAACGCGGCGCUGCCCCGCGCGGCACCGAAGCUCUGUGCGGGCUACAGGACAGACCGUGCUGCAGGAAAACGUACGUGUGUCAGAAACACGCCUCGAGUCCAUCAGCAUCGUUCCUCUUUUUAAUUUCUUUUGCACUGGUGGCACCAGUUAGCAUAGCGACUGUGGGCUGAUAGGCACCCAACUGCUCUGCCAGCUCACUGAGAAGUGUAAGGACGAUCUGGGCGUAGACCUUUCAGUGUACCCCCUUAGUCAGUGAUGGAUUACAGGGACGGGGGGUUGGUAACCUUUCAGGUAAAGAUGCCCCUUUACAUAAAAGUGUCCACACAUCAGGUUGGAUAUGAGGAACAAUUUCUUCUCAGGAAGAGAAGAGUGGUCUUUCCAACUUUAAUGAUUCAAUGAUCACACACAGUGCGAGGCAAAGGUGGUCAGUCACAGCAUUUGACAUUUCUAACUGUGGGUUAUAGUUCUGGAAGUGAGUCCUAACUCUGACAAAAAGCAACUAAGGUAUGCUUUCUUUUAUCCUCAACAUCCAGGCAGCAGCAAUACAGACUUCUUUGUAUAUGCCGAUACAAUACAUCACACUUGCAGUUGCUGGGCUUUCUUCAGUUCUUGAACCCCCUGUGCUGAACAGUACUUCAUUGUUCCCUUUGACAGUGGAAGCAAGGUUUAUUCUGUCCACAGAAUCACAGAAUCAUCUGAGUUGGAAGGGAUCCCCUUCCGAGACCAUCUAGUCCAACUCCCCUGCAAUGAACCAGGACACCUACAGGUAGAUCAAGGUGCUCAGAGCCCCUCCACUCUGACCUUGGAUGUCUCCUGGGAUGGGGAUCCACCACCUCUCUGGGCAACCUGUGCCAGUGCCUCACCACUCCUACCAAAAAAGCUUUUCUUCUGUUUAGUGAGGUGCCUGAAGAGUCAGAGCAAAAUGCAUAUUGGAAGAUGCUAUUCCAGAGCUGGUAAAGGACAGCGUGCAGCAGGUGGUGACUGCAUAAAGCUGACAGCUUCCAAUCCUUGGAGCCAGGAUUCUUGACUCAGGACAGUGUUGUGACAAAGCAUCCGAUGUGACAGAGUCUGUAAGUGGAGAAUCCUAAAUAGCAAAACAUGCAAAAAUGUCUUCUCUGCUGCUUUGUCCCAACGCUUACCUUUACUUCAGACAGAAAUGAGGCCACUCAGUUUUUAAUGCCUCCUUGUUUCUCCCCAGUAGACCUGCUGAGUAACUAGGUCAUCAGGAUGGACUCUCAAGGAUUCUUUUUUAUUUUAUCGUUUAAUCGCCAGAUGGUGAACAAAGUAAGCUGAUUCUUUAUUGCUUCUUUCUUUCACAGCCAUUAGGGAUGAGGCUUACACGGUAGACUUGUAUCAAUGCUUCUGCCUUGAGUUUUCUCAGGAGGUUCAUAAGGAGUAACAUGCAAAGCAGUCAUGGAGUUAGACCUGGGCUAAGAGCAAACAACCGUCUAUCAGUAGUGCUGGUGUUGAUUUCAAAAGGAUUUGCUGGUUUGUUUUUUAUGAAUAAUGCAACGAAAAGCUCUUGGCAGUUGGUUACUCCCUCGGGCCUUGCUCUUCUUCCCUGCAUUUUAAUAUGUAUCUUUCUAUGUAAAGCUAACUUUGAAAAAGUCUGUGUUCAUGUCUCUAUCUGUUAUUAUUUGCCUGUAUUAAAGAAAUGUGUGGGAUGAAAGUGAAGAGCAAUUCUGUGCAAGCCAUACAGUCAAUCAAUGAAAAUAACCCUUCAAAGCUCUACUCAGGCUUCUGGGCAGAGCUCUUUCAUACGUAGUUUCGGUGUCUCGAAGACAUAACAAAGUGUUAGAAGCAAGAAGUUCUUUCCAGUCCUGUGCCUAAGCUGCUGAGCUACUAAUGCAAACUUGAUUUAUUUCCUUCUUGUGCUUUUGUGUUAUGCUGAAAUGCAUUUGUUUGCCAAGAAUCAUUCCAUGAGUGGAAGUUCAUUAUGCAUACAUGCAAGCUGUAACUCCUUGCAAGAGAAAAGCUUGGGGUGCUAAUUUAUCUAUUCCUCUAUUUGAUUACAACAAGAAAUUCAACCAAGUCUCAUCUUGGAAGACAUUUUCUUGUUAGUUUGUUUUCACUUUGAUUUCCAGUACAUUCCUUUUUUUUUCUUUAAUCAAGUUUGGAUUGAGUAUUCCUCAGAUACAGUGAACCCUAAGGCAGGAUCACACAACCCCAGAUUUCAGACAUCUGAUCUUUAUGCCAAGGAUUUGUAUGAACCAAAGUGUUCAGCUUGUACGCAGUGUUCCACUUAGUAACUACUAGCAUGGGUCAUGAAAGGAAAAAGUAACAGUUAAAU
Molecule: long non-coding RNA, 5952 nt
Filed under: Gallus gallus (chicken)
Lineage: Eukaryota; Metazoa; Chordata; Aves; Galliformes; Phasianidae
Source: RNAcentral